AAGGCUUGACAUAUAGGGAAAAGCGGCAGAGAUGUCGUGUCCGCAAGGGCUCUAUACAGGUGGUGCAUGGUUGUCGUCAGCUCGUGUCGUGAGAUGUUGGGUUAAGUCCCGCAACGAGCGCAACCCUCGUUCUGUGUUGCCAGCAUUUAGUUGGGGACUCACAGGAGACUGCCGGGGUUAACUCGGAGGAAGGUGGGGAUGACGUCAAAUCAUCAUGCCCCUUAUGUCUUGGGCUGCACGCAUGCUACAAUGGCCGAUACAAAGGGCUGCGAUACCGUAAGGUGGAGCGAAUCCCAAAAAGUCGGUCUCAGUUCGGAUUGAGGUCUGCAACUCGACCUCAUGAAGUCGGAGUUGCUAGUAAUCGUAGAUCAGCAACG
This 377-nucleotide ribosomal RNA is filed under the name uncultured Actinomycetes bacterium. RNAcentral describes it as "bacterial SSU rRNA". It matches the Rfam family "Bacterial small subunit ribosomal RNA", at positions 976 to 1356 of the family's 1533-position model. Lineage: Bacteria; Bacillati; Actinomycetota; Actinomycetes. The record is from RNAcentral.